AAAUUAUUUCUAGUUUGAUUUUUAUUAUUAAUUUAAAUUAUAUUUAAUUAUUUUUUAAUUAUAUUCAUUUAAAUAAUGAUUAUUAGAUAGGGUUUUAAAGUAUAAUAAUUAGUUUUAUUCUAUUAAAUAAUUUUAAUUUAGUAAUAUUAAUAAAAUUAUAAAUUAAAAUUGUGCCAGCAAUUGCGGUUAAACAAUUUAUAAAAAUAAAAAUUAUUAAAUUUUAAAUAUAAAAUUAAAGUAGAUUUUUUAAAAAAUUAUUUAAAUUAUUAGGUAAAAUAUAAAAUUUAAAUUAGAUAUAUAAUAAAUUAAAUUUUUAAAAUUUUUUAAGUUUUAGAUUUAAACUAGGAUUAGAUACCCUAUUAUAAAAAUUAAAUAUAUUUUUUAGAAAUUUUAAUAAAUUUAAUUAGUAAAUAAAAAAAUUGAAAAUUAAAGAAUUUGACGGUAUUUAAAUCAGUUUAGAGGAAUUUGUUUUGUAAUUGAUAUUCCACAAUUUAUUUAACUUAUAGUAAAAUAAAAUUUAUAUAUCGUUGUUAUAAAAAUAUUUGUAAAAAAAAAAUAUUUUAAAGGUUAAAAUUAAAUUUAUAUCAAAUCAAGAUAUAAUUUAUCUAUAAGAAUUUAAUGAAUUACAUUAAUACGAAAAAAAAAAUAAAAUUAUUAAAUUAAAUAGUGAAAAUGUUUAUUUUAAUUGGAUUUAAUUGUAAUUUUAAAUAUUUUUUUAAAAUGAUUUUUGUUUUUAAAUAUGUACAUAUUGCCCGUCACUCUUAUUAGUUUUUAAAUUAAAUAAUUAAGAUAAGUCGUAACAAAGUAGAGAUAUUGGAAAAUGUUUCUAGAUACACUAAAAGUUAAA
Molecule: non-coding RNA, 847 nt
Filed under: Potamyia horvati
Lineage: Eukaryota; Metazoa; Arthropoda; Insecta; Trichoptera; Hydropsychidae
Source: RNAcentral